This 19-nucleotide ribosomal RNA is filed under the name Picipes tubaeformis. RNAcentral describes it as "Polyporus tubiformis partial 28S ribosomal RNA". Lineage: Eukaryota; Fungi; Basidiomycota; Agaricomycetes; Polyporales; Polyporaceae. The record is from RNAcentral.
AUCUGACCUCAGAUCAGCG